AUGGGUCUGCUGGAGGUGCCGCCGGAGGAAACCAAUCGUUGCGUGCGCGGAUGCUGCCGUAGCGACGCCAUCCCGCUCCACCUCCCCGCCGCGUCCUUCUCCCUUCUCUCCCCCAUCGCCCGAGGGUCGGAGAGCACGGUGUACGAGGCGCGAUUGGGGGGCGAGCGUGCGGCGGCGAAGAAGCCCGUGUUGUCCACUUCCGACGACCUCGAUAAGUUCCAUUACCAGCUCCAGCUUCUAUGUGAGCUGGAUCAUCCAGGGUUGGUGAAACUCAUUGCAGCACAUGCACGUCCUCCAAAUUACUUGAUGUUUUUCGAAUAUUUUGAGCCUCCAAACUUGGCAGACAAGAUACAUGUUGAGGAGUGGAGCCCUUCUAUCCAGCAAGUGGUCACGAUUGCCAGCUAUCUAGCAAAGACUCUCCAAUACCUACAAAUUCUUGGGAUAGUGCACCGAGAUAUAAAACCAGCAAAUAUUUUGCUAGAUAAAGACCUCCUUCCACAUCUAGCAGAUUUUGGCUUGGCUAUGUACCAGAAGGAUAUUAAAAGUGUUUCAGCUGAGAACUGGAAAUCAUCUGGCAAGCCUACCGGUGGUUUCUAUAAAAAGAAUAUGGUCGGGACACUAAUUUACAUGGCACCAGAAAUUUUGAGAAAGGAUUUACAUACAGAAAAAUCAGAUGUUUACAGCUUUGCAAUAUUAAUAAACGAGCUUCUUACUGGUGUUGUGCCUUACACUGAUCUGCGAGCAGAAGCACAGGCACACACCAUUCUUGAAAUGACUUACACUGAACAGCAACUUACAUCAGCUGUUGUUUCUCAAGGAUUGCGCCCUGCUCUGGCCCUUCCAGAGUCUGGCUCUCCACCAAGUCUCUUGUCACUUAUUCAGCGCAGCUGGGAUUCUGAUCCUGAACGAAGACCAUCAUUUGGAGAUAUAAUUGAAGAGUUAAAUGUAAUACAGAAGCAUUUAGUUACAUAUUCUUGCCCUCUAUCAUCUGGUUCAGUGAACUUGAGUCGAAACAGCAAGGCAGAAGUACACCAUUAUCAAGAAGCAUUAAACUGGUUUAACCAAGGGGAACUGUUAACAAAGAAAGCAAACAAAUUAGACUAUGCAGUGAAUCCUUGGUCUAGUUCAUUUGAUCAGUCCUCUGUCUCUGUGUAUCAUCCAACUUUGAGCUGGGGAUCUUUUGCAACAUGUGGACGAAGAGAAACAAUGGAAGAUACUCAUUUUAUGCUUACCUGCAUGUCUGAAGAAAAAGAUGUGCAUUCCUUUGGCAUUUUUGAUGGACACAGAGCUGCUGAGUUUUCUGUCCGAGCAGUUCCUGGAUUUCUCAAGCAAUUUGGACACACUGCCAGCCCGAUUGAUGCCCUUGCAGAAGCAUUUGUAAGUAGUGACACAGCAUUUAGAGAAGAGUUAAUUGCUCACCAGAAGUCAAAAAGGAUAAUCCAGAAAGACUGGCAUCCUGGUUGCACGGCAGUGACAGCAUUGAUAGUGAGAAACAAACUUUUUGUAGCAAAUGCUGGUGAUUGCCGAGCAAUUCUCAGCCGUGCUGGCAAACCAUUUCCUCUGACUAGGGAUCAUGUUGCUAGUUGCCCCAAGGAAAGAGAGCGUGUUAUAAAGGAAGGGGCUGAAGUCAGAUGGCAAAUAGAUACAUGGCGAGUCGGUGCAGCUGCUCUUCAGGUUACAAGGUCAAUUGGUGAUGAUGAUCUCAAGCCAGCAGUCACAGCAUUACCUGAGAUAACUGAAACUGAUUUAACAGCUGAUGACGAGUUCCUGGUCAUGGCUAGUGACGGACUCUGGGAUGUGGUAGGCAACGAGGAUGUCCUUUCCAUCAUCAAGGACACUGUGAAAGAGCCUGGAAUGUGCUCCAAGAGGCUGGCUACCGAGGCCUCAGCGCGGGGCAGCAAAGACAACAUCACUGUUAUCGUUGUCUUCCUUCGCCCUGUCUCCACAGCAGAACGAAUAUACUAG
RNAcentral lists this ribosomal RNA (1965 nucleotides) under Triticum aestivum (bread wheat). RNAcentral describes it as "partial small subunit ribosomal RNA". Lineage: Eukaryota; Viridiplantae; Streptophyta; Magnoliopsida; Poales; Poaceae. The record is from RNAcentral.